ACAUCACAGCUCCUUCACUUCUCAAUCAUUCACUGGAAACAUGACAACACAAACUCUCAUCUGUUCUCUGAUCAUUUCACUUACAGGUUGUUUUGGUGAGAUUAUUCUCACUCAGAGUCCCAAAGUUCAGAUGGUGUCAGGAGGAGAAAGCGUCUCUCUCGUCUGUAAAUCCAGCAGUUCUGCUGUUCAAUCCUACUUAGUUUGGUAUCAUCACACACCUGGAAAAACACACAAACUCCUUUUCUCUAGUGUUGGUAGCCGAGUGUCUGGUGUGUCUGAGAGAUUUACUGAUGAGAGAUCAAACACAAACUACAAACUGAAUAUCAGAAAUGUUCAGCCUGAAGAUGCAGGAGAUUAUUACUGUCAACAGUAUGCUGAGUUUCCACUUACACAGUGAUAAAGAGUCGCACAAAAACCUCCUUCAGUAAAAGAGGAACUACAGACACACAAGUUUACUCUGAUUAUUACUGUGAAUAAAAAUAAACCAUUUAAUAAAAAUGAAACACAUGUUUAACACUG
Molecule: non-coding RNA, 519 nt
Organism: Misgurnus anguillicaudatus (oriental weatherfish)
Lineage: Eukaryota; Metazoa; Chordata; Actinopteri; Cypriniformes; Cobitidae
Source: the annotation of a RefSeq genome assembly